AAUAUUUAAAUGAUGACUGCAUAGUUCACCUGAAUAUUUUUGAUGAACAAUACUUUAACGGUUUCCGCUGUCUGAUUAUAUUUU
This is a non-coding RNA of Papilio machaon (common yellow swallowtail), 84 nucleotides long. The record is from Rfam. Lineage: Eukaryota; Metazoa; Arthropoda; Insecta; Lepidoptera; Papilionidae.